CAGACUGAAGGAAAUAUAGAUGUACAUACUUGUAUGAUCAUACUGUAUUACUAUGAUAGUCGCCAUUAUUUAUUUGAACUUAAGCCCAACCCAAAAAAAAUCGUUAGGCCCAAGAAAAACUCAUAUGAUCUCCGAGUUUGUUGAUUUAUCCGUUAAUGGACCUUUUCAUGGAACAGAUAUAAGGCUCAACUUCGAAGACUGGUUUGGCCCAAGACUUUUUAGUAAAGCUCAGUCCAGGCUUGGGCGCAAAUAAACAACAACCAGAUCUUUUGGCUAUCCUGGAAACAGCUGUGUAGGGUCAAACGACGCUGACGAGGGAUCCUGCAAGGGUGCUGAUUCAGCAGAUAUAAUGGCCGGUCAUGCAACGGUUAGCAGAACAGUGGCAGUCUAUUUAGAUUAUUGAGAGAGAAAGUGACGGUACUAAGGAGUGAUUCCUGAGUUGUUCUUAGAGAGUGAUUGCCAUUUAUCCUUGUUUUGUUCCCCUGAUCUUCUUGUGUUGAAUAGUUAUGUUGCGAUUCCUGAGCUA
This is a long non-coding RNA of Tripterygium wilfordii, 526 nucleotides long. RefSeq lists it as uncharacterized. The record is from RefSeq and is a predicted model, not a curated record. The transcript has 2 exons. Lineage: Eukaryota; Viridiplantae; Streptophyta; Magnoliopsida; Celastrales; Celastraceae.